RNAcentral lists this ribosomal RNA (919 nucleotides) under uncultured bacterium. RNAcentral's name for it is "bacterial SSU rRNA". It matches the Rfam family "Bacterial small subunit ribosomal RNA", at positions 33 to 942 of the family's 1533-position model. The record is from RNAcentral.
ACGCUGGCGGCAUGCUUUACACAUGCAAGUCGGACGGCAGCACAGAGAAGCUUGCUUCUUGGGUGGCGAGUGGCGAACGGGUGAGUAACAUAUCGGAACGUACCGAGCAGUGGGGGAUAACUAAUCGAAAGAUUAGCUAAUACCGCAUAUAUUCUGAGGAAGAAAGCAGGGGACCAUUUGGCCUUGCGCUGUUUGAGCGGCCGAUAUCUGAUUAGCUAGUUGGUGGGGUAAAGGCCUACCAAGGCGACGAUCAGUAGCGGGUCUGAGAGGAUGAUCCGCCACACUGGGACUGAGACACGGCCCAGACUCCUACGGGAGGCAGCAGUGGGGAAUUUUGGACAAUGGGCGCAAGCCUGAUCCAGCCAUGCCGCGUGUCUGAAGAAGGCCUUCGGGUUGUAAAGGACUUUUGUCAGGGAAGAAAAGGACAGGGUUAAUACCCCUGUCUGAUGAAGGUACCUGAAGAAUAAGCACCGGCUAACUACGUGCCAGCAGCCGCGGUAAUACGUAGGGUGCGAGCGUUAAUCGGAAUUACUGGGCGUAAAGCGGGCGCAGACGGUUACUUAAGCAGGAUGUGAAAUCCCCGGGCUCAACCUGGGAACUGCGUUCUGAACUGGUGACUAGAGUGUGUCAGAGGGAGGUAGAAUUCCACGUGUAGCAGUGAAAUGCGUAGAGAUGUGGAGGAAUACCGAUGGCGAAGGCAGCCUCCUGGGAUAACACUGACGUUCAUGCCCGAAAGCGUGGGUAGCAAACAGGAUUAGAUACCCUGGUAGUCCACGCCCUAAACGAUGUCGAUUAGCUGUUGGGCAGCUUGACUGCUUAGUAGCGAAGCUAACGCGUGAAAUCGACCGCCUGGGGAGUACGGUCGCAAGAUUAAAACUCAAAGGAAUUGACGGGGACCCGCACAAGCGGUGGAUGAUGU